This 144-nucleotide small nucleolar RNA is filed under the name Candida maltosa Xu316. Lineage: Eukaryota; Fungi; Ascomycota; Pichiomycetes; Serinales; Debaryomycetaceae. The record is from RNAcentral.
UACCGAAUUGAUAACUGGAUGGAUUGAUCGGUUUUCCAGUCCCUUUCUGUCUUUUAAGUAUUCGGGAAAUCAAAACUGGAAAUGCUUCUUACACGAUGGACAACAUUAUAAAUUGUGUUUAUCGUUUACUUUUCCUUAACAUUU